Molecule: ribosomal RNA, 253 nt
Filed under: uncultured bacterium
Lineage: Bacteria
Description: partial 16S ribosomal RNA
Rfam family: Bacterial small subunit ribosomal RNA
Source: RNAcentral
UACGUAGGGUCCGAGCGUUAAUCGGAAUUACUGGGCGUAAAGCGUGCGCAGGCGGUUUUGUAAGCCAGAUGUGAAAUCCCCGGGCUCAACCUGGGAACUGCAUUUGGGACUGCAAGGCUGGAGUACGGCAGAGGGAGGUGGAAUUCCAGGUGUAGCAGUGAAAUGCGUAGAGAUCUGGAGGAACACCGAUGGCGAAGGCAGCCUCCUGGGCUAGUACUGACGCUCAUGCACGAAAGCGUGGGGAGCAAACAGG